Molecule: long non-coding RNA, 566 nt
Filed under: Olea europaea subsp. europaea
Lineage: Eukaryota; Viridiplantae; Streptophyta; Magnoliopsida; Lamiales; Oleaceae
Source: RNAcentral
UUCCUCUCUAAAUUUUCCUCUAUAUUACUAAGGCUUUAUUCCCACAGCAGUUUACUAUAUUUUAUUCAAUUUCACAAGCAACCAAGAGAAAAAUCUCAGCAAACAAGUUCCCACAAUUUGCUUUCCAAGUGCAUAUUAUAAUACAAGAUUCGUUACGUAAGGUGGGAUGCUCAGUGCUAUUAGUGGUUUUUCCACAUCUUUUCAAAUACGUUGUUAUGUAUGAAUUUAAUUACUUCAAUUCAGGACUCCUUCGAGAGAAAUCAUGAUACAUUUUUUAAGGCACAAUUUAGCUUUCACGUUAUUUUGCAACGCUUGCUUGAAUUAUCAUUUGUCAUGGUGUGAUAAUUCUCAUGUUAUGUUGGUAAGAGAAUUUAUGCAUAAUUUCACGUUUGAUUUGAAUGUGGAGUAGCAAGCAUCUAAUUGAGUAUAAUUCGUUAUACUCAUCCCUCUUUAUUUACAAUUUUCAAGUAAAAAUUAGUAUGCUGGACGGCGGUGGAUGGAUAAGCAAUUGGACCAAUGGAUCUUCGUCAUGAAGUACUUUAAUUUUUAGAAACACUAGAAUAUUU